RNAcentral lists this ribosomal RNA (1678 nucleotides) under Raddaella batesii. RNAcentral describes it as "16S ribosomal RNA". The stretch from base 95 to 1566 matches the Rfam family "Bacterial large subunit ribosomal RNA". The record is from RNAcentral. Lineage: Eukaryota; Metazoa; Chordata; Actinopteri; Cyprinodontiformes; Nothobranchiidae.
GCCUAAAAGCUAGCUCUUCCAUUAAAUAUAACACUAAAAUAUAAAUAUAUCUUAAUAUACCAAAAACAUUAAACAAAUCAUUUUACACACCUUAGUAUAGGCGAUAGAAAGGAAAGCAUGAAGCUAUAGAAAAAGUACCGCAAGGGAACGCUGAAAGAGAAAUGAAAUAAACCAGUAAAGCAACAAAAAGCAGAGACAAAAUCUCGUACCUUUUGCAUCAUGAAUUAGCAAGUCCAUACUAAGCAAAAAGAUUUCUAGUUUAACACCCCGAAACUAAGUGAGCUACUCCAGGGCAGCCUUGUAAAUAGGGCAAACACGUCUCUGUAGCAAAAGAGUGUGAAGACCCUUGAGUAGAGGUGACAAACCUACCGAACUUAGUUAUAGCUGGUUGCCUGAGAAAUAAAUAAAAGUUUAGCCUUUUCUUUUCUCAAGUUAAAACUAAGCAUUAUAACACCUCAAUACAAGAAAAGAAAAGAGUUAUUCAUAAGGGGUCCAGCCCUUAUGAACAAGAGUACAAUCUUAUGAGAAGGAUAAUGAACACAAUCAUUUAAAGCUAGUGUCUAAGUGGGCCUAAAAGCAGCCAUCUUAAAAAGCGUCAAAGCUUAAAUACACUAAAUCUUUUAAUAACGAUCAUUAAAAUCAUAUUCCCCUUCAAUUAACAGGCUAUUCCAUUAAAUAAUGAAAGUAAUAAUGCUAAUAUGAGUAAUGAGAGAUACCUCUCUCCUGGCAUCCAUGUAAGUCGGAACGGAUAAACCCCCGACAAUUACCGGCCCCAAACCAAGAGGGAAAUGAAAUACAAACAGAGAACUAGAAAACUUUGCAUUUACAUACCGUUAAGCCUACACUGGUGUGCUAUUUAAAGGAAAGAUAAAAAGAAAAAGAAGGAACUCGGCAAAUAUUUUAUAAGCCUCGCCUGUUUACCAAAAACAUCGCUUCUUGAUAUAAUAAUAUAAGAAGUCCCGCCUGCCCCGUGAUUAAAUUUUUAACGGCCGCGGUAUUUUGACCGUGCAAAGGUAGCGCAAUCACUUGUCUUUUAAAUGAAGACCUGUAUGAAUGGCAUAACGAGGGCUUAGCUGUCUCCUUUUUCCUAUCAAUGAAAUUGAUCCCCCCGUGCAGAAGCGGGGAUUUAAACAUAAGACGAGAAGACCCUAUGGAGCUUAAAACGCAAGAACAGAACAUGUUACUUUAUAUAAUUUAAAAAAUAAAAUCAAUUGAAAACUGUCCAAGUGUUUUUGGUUGGGGCGACCACGGAGUAAAACAAAACCUCCAUGAGGAAUAAAGACAUUCCUUUUAAUUUAAGGAUAACAAUCCUAAAAAACAGUAUUUCUGACCACUUAGAUCCGGCUAAAGCCGAUCAACGGACAGAGUUACCCUAGGGAUAACAGCGCAAUCCUCUUUUAGAGCUCAUAUCGACAAGAGGGUUUACGACCUCGAUGUUGGAUCAGGACAUCCUAAUGGUGCAGCCGCUAUUAAGGGUUCGUUUGUUCAACGAUUAAAGUCCUACGUGAUCUGAGUUCAGACCGGAGUAAUCCAGGUCAGUUUCUAUCUAUGAAAUGCUUUAUUCUAGUACGAAAGGAUUGAAUAAAGAAGGCCAAUAAUUUAAUUAAGCCUUCCCCUUAUCUAAUGAAGACAACUAAAUUAGGUAAAGGACAUAAAUCAAAAGGGUAAAUAACCCUUA